This is a long non-coding RNA of Equus caballus (horse), 5389 nucleotides long. The record is from Ensembl. Lineage: Eukaryota; Metazoa; Chordata; Mammalia; Perissodactyla; Equidae.
AGCUUGGAGAACAUUUCUGUCAUUGUAGAAAUUUUGAUUAUAAAGUACUGUUCUAGAGCAGGGAUUAGGCAAAACUUCCAUAAAGGUGCCAAAUAUUUUAGGCUUGUGGGCCAUAUAAGUCAGAAAUACGCUGCAGUUGUAGUGCAAAAGCAGCCAGACAAUCGCUCAGUAAAUGACUGGUUUAAUAAACAUGAAAAUUGGAAUUUUAAAUUGCCACAUCACAAAAUAUUCUUUUGAUUGCAUUGGAAUGGCUUAGUCAGUGUAUAUGCAUUUUUAAAUUUAAAAACUAGAUUGCAGGACCAGUCCUGUAGCUGACUGGUUAAGUUUGCACACUCUGCUUUGGUGGCCCAGGGUUUUGCUGGUUCAGAUCCUGGGCAUGGACAUGGCACCACUCAUCAAGCCAUGCUGAGGCAUACCAUGUCCGGGCCCAGGAUUCGAGCCAAUGAAACACUGGGCCGCCUGCAGCGGAGCGCGCAAACUUAACCACUCAGCCACGGGGCCAGCUCCCAUAAACUUAGUUUUCUUUAGGAGAAUUAUCUUUAUGUUGAAAUUUCUUGGACAUGGCAUGACUUAGCAUUUAAGGUCUUAUUUGUGUUUUAAUGUUUUCUUCAUAUAUAACUUAUACGUGUCUCUAAUUAUUCCUAGCCUUAUUUUCCUCCUAGUUUAUCUUCAAAUUGAUUAGUACCUACUCGAAUACACUAUUUUCAGCUGCCACUCAGCAUUUUUCAAGUAAACUUAAUCUGCAAGUGAUUUUUACCUCUUUUCCCACUUAAACAUUUUUCUUCUCUUGCCUAACUGCCUUUGCUAGUAACUUUGAACACAGCUUUCUCUUUUUUAAUAAGAACAUUUCUAGGAUUUCCCUAUUAAGCAUCACACAGGCUUUUGGAAUAAGAUAAAUUUGAUCAGGUUAGGAAUCUCGACUCUGUGAUUUUAGCAAAUGUUUUAGCAUGGAGGGAGAUUAUAUAUCUUAUUGAGAUCAACUGCAAAUAUUCUUGGUGUAUUCUUAAAAUAGUCUAGGAAUGACUUUUCUGUGUUGUAUUAUUAUAUAAUUGUUUGCCUAUAAUGUGUAUCUACUAAAGUCUUUAUGCCCCUAAUUUAGCAGGUGUUUACUACUAUAUAUACAAAACUAACAAGGAACCCAACUUUACUUACGUCCUAAAUUCUUGAGGAAUUUUUAAAUGUCUUUAAAUCUUCUGACCCUCAUUGAACCCAUAGUUUAGUAGGACAAAGACUGAAGAAUUUUAAUAAAAUGUGAUAAACCCUAUGAUAGGGCAAGACUAGGGGUGGGGAUGUGACUCUCUAAGGCCUUCCAGCAGGGACAUUUUAAAAAACCUAAGAGACUCAUGGGUGAUAUGAGGAAGAAUGAUGUAGAUGGGACUCCUUUUAAAGCAAGGCCAAAAGGAAUGUCUGUAUAUGGUCUCUGUAUGUUUUAAGAGCACAAGGAAGCUUCCUCAAGCUACAGCAAGAGUGGCAAAGAUGCUGAUGGCCUGAAACAAGGUAUUUGGCAUUUGUGAUACGUGUAUGAGACCAGAAAAAGACAGGCAUUUCAGCAGGCCCUGAAAGAUGUUACUGUGAUUGAGGUUGAUGACUGAAAAAGACAAGUAGAUAUUUGUGCCUGUUAGUUGGAAAGACUUGGCGGCACUAUGUAUGAAAGCUCCAAACCAACCACUAGCUUUUGAGUCAGAUUUAUUGAACACCACAGUAGUUCCUGGAUCCACUAACCAUGUGACCUUGGGCAAAUAACAGCAUGUACCUUGUAGAGUUGUUGAGAGGAUAAACAGAUGUGUAGAAUGAAUUUAAUAGUUCUGGCACAUGGUCAACAUGCACUAAAUAUUGUCAAUAUUCUAUGGUGCCACAGGACCUGCAGCAUAUUUACAUGAAUAUCCUAAAAUGACAAAACCAUAGAUUCAAAGAUUAUUCAUUUUUAUAGAGCCCCAGAGUAAACAUGUUAAAAUUACUCACUUAAAUCUGGUUAUAAGUUUUAUCCUGGUACCUAUUCAUCAGCGCAAUGACUGCUAGUAAGAGAGGCUAUGCAAGCUAUAAUUUAUACACAAAGAUGUUUUACUAAUUUUCUUAACUAUAAAGACAUUUAUAGAUUACCAAAAAAAGAAAAUCCCACAUUAUUUUAGUUAACAGAUGUCUCAAAUUUGAACAAAUUCUCUGCAAAUCCACUAUGUUCAUUUAAUACUUUUUCAAGCUAAAUUUAGUGUCAAAUAUUUGUGCACUAUAUUAUAUCUUUAGGGUCCACUAGCAAAUGAUUAGGAAAUCUGACACUUGUUUCUAUGAUUUUUCUGUUUCAAAAUUUUUUAAAAAGAACAAAACCAGCAAUCUCUUUAUCCUCAUUUACUGGGGUAUUAUUAAAAAACAGGAUAUGCCUAUGGCCUUACUCUAUUUUGGGUACAUUAUGACACACAGACAUUAAUAUUUACCAGCUGAGGCCCUUUAAUCAGUUGUCAGUAGAAUUGAACCUGCUUGGCCAUAGGGGAAUGAGGUAAAUCUUUAGAAGCUGGUGAAUACCAGCUUUUCAAAGGACUCUUACAUGGCAGCUGACUUUCUAGCUCUGUGGUAAAACAGUGCAAUUACACAUAUAAUGGGUGCUCAGUCAGGAAAGGUGGCUUCUCUGCAGAAGUGCUGUCUGAGCCGAGAUCUCAAAUUAGACAAAGUAGAGAAGAUGGACCCAGACAGAAACAGCAUGCGCAGAGACCUCGUAGUAAAAGGCUUAUCAAGGACUGAAAGAAACCAAGGUGGCAAAGAUGAGGCGAGAGAGAUAAAGGCUAGACUGUACAUAUUAAGGUGAGCAGAGAAUGUGUUUGUUCAUCACUUAUCCCCAAUGUCUAACAGAAUUCAGUUAAUAAAACUAAUAAACCGAUAAAGGGUAUCUAUUAAAUGACCAGUUUGACAAGAUGAGUAAUUACCAUAGGCUAUUGCCUCUUCCUCUAACUCAGCCCUGGAGGUAUUACACAAAUAAGAGGGAAGUUAGAGAUCUGAGAAAUUAAAUAUGAAGAGUCCCUUGGAGAAACAGAUCAUGAUUGGGUCCCACUAUACAAGGGCAAGAAAUGGAAGUCCAGUGUAGAAAAGGGUAGAGUGCCAUGGGAGUAGGGGUAAUCUUGGUGGUGACGAAACUUCUGUUCUUUUCCCCUAUCCUAUUCAUUGCCUCAUGUUCAACUCAUCACUUGCUGGAGUGGCCAGCAUAAUGCAACCUUACUUACUAGCACCUGGAGUUCUUGAGAGAAUUGCAACUGAGGGGAAGGAGAAGCAGUUUGACCAUCUGCUGCUCUGGUGAAGCCCUGAUUCUAACUCAGAGGUUCUGUGCCUUAAGGCUCUCUCUCUUCUCCUUCAACUCUUUAGGACACCAGGGCCUGGGCUUGGCUCCUCUCUACCGGCAGCUGACACAAAAUUCCCAUCCUCUACUGUGAGCUCAUAGGGUAAAAAUAAUCAGUCAUCUGGGAACUACAGCAUCUGCUAUAAAAGACAACAGCUCAACCACUAUUCUAGAUGAAAGAGAAUAAACAAAGACCAUAGAAUAAAAUGUCAUUAUUAAAAGUGGAACAUUUAUAGAAUAUAGGGGGCUAUAAACUAAGGAUCCUGGUUAGGAUCCUUAUAUAUGCAUACAUAUAUACUUCAGUGUUCUAUCAGCUGAUAGGGCCUAGAAGCAACAAAACCUCAGUACCAAGAGCACAUCUAGUGCCCAGAUCUUGGUUCCUUAGUAUUAUUCUCCAAUAAAGGAAGCAGGGCUCCUUGUGAUGACUUUAUUCCCAAAGAGUACAGUGUUGGGUGAGGGGGAGUAACUUUACAGUGGAGAAAACUGGCAAAUAAGACCUCAGCCAGGUGAUCAAGAUUAACAUCAAUAGGAGAAAAUCAUAUUGAUAGUAUACACUCUUGAUACAUGAUGAGAAUGGCACUUUACUUCUGUGUUCUCUCAAAAUUCCUUAAUGCCUAGCCUAAUCCUGAGAAAAACUCAAUCCUAAUUGAAGGGACUUUUUACAAAACACCUGACCCAAAACUCAAGCUCAUCAAAAACAAAGAAAGUCUAAGAAGCUGUCACAGCCAAGAGGAGUCUAAGGAGACGUGAUGACUAAAUGUAAUAUCCUCAAUGGGAUCCUGGAAGAAAGAACAUUAAGUGAAAACUAAAGAAAUCUGGAUAAGUAUGGACUUUAAUAAUGUAUCGAUAUUAGCCCAUUGUGACAAACGUACUAUGCUAAUAUUAGUGGAAACCGGAUGUGGGGGUACAUGGGAAUUUUUUGUACUAUCCUCCCAACUUUUCUGUAAAUCUACAACUAUUCUAAAAAAAAAAUAAUAAAUUUCAAGGUCCAUUUUCCAGAUGGUAGUUAAGUCCCCUUAACAAGCAGUACAGAAUAUUCCCACACCCCAAAGGCCUUUACUGGAGAACAGGAAGGAACAGAGUAACGGGCUCCACUCCUUUGAACUAGGCCUUAGAAUACUAAAUUGACAAAUACAUGACUCAACAAGUUGGCUCAUUAAAAGUGUUCCUAAAUAUCACUAAAGAGGAAGAAUGUUGCUAAGCAGACAAUUCUAAGUAUUACAGCUGAUUUUUUAAUUCAGUGAAAUUGUUUUCCAAGAGAAUAUUACCUGGAGCUGUUCAUAAAGCCCUAAUUAAGCAACAAGAUUCACUGGAGUCAUUGUCACUCUUUUAAGUUCCCAAUUAGUUGCUCUUACCAGGUUGUUUUCCUUUAUGUGAAUUCCUAGGCACUGAGCCACUUUUUUAUGUGCCUUUGGGACCUGCAGAAUUUAUUCCUCUGGGGUCCUAUUUUCCUGAUUAAAAUGUGAGACAUGAUCCAAAAUUUCAAUGCAACAGUCCAUUGACAGUAGUUUCAACCCUGAAAGAAGGGAGGUAAAUUAUUUACAAUGCCAGGGAUAUCACUCAAUACGUGGGACCCCCUACUCACCCUGCUUUAGUUUUUCCUCUUAAUAUGGUAUAGGACCGGGGCCUGAAACUUGAGCAGAGCAAAAUAGAGGGGCACUUGUGUUUCUUAACUGCUACCUAUGGCAGGAGGUAGCAGCUUGCAUAUUUACAGACCAGAAACCCUGCCAGUCCAGUUUCAAUUUCCAUUGCAGCAUGGGAAAAGGAUGAUAAAGGGAAGGAAUGAAUAAAAAGCUAUUUUGAAAUGUUUUAUAUCAUCCUCUUAGACUUGCCAGGAAAUUAAAAAAAAUCAAGUCAACAGGGAGUAGUCGGUGACUAAUUAACUUCACUUAUCAAGUACAAAAAAACCAUUAAAUUAUUUUAAUAUGCACUAUCAAGCCAUUGAAACCUCUUGGGAUAUUGAAUAUAGGCACAAACACCAAAUGAAUUAUCCCUUUUCAAGUAGGAACACAGGGGCCCCUCUCUGCACCUGGGUAGCCUACCAUAGUCAGAAAGGCAAUCUAUGUU